UAGUUAUAAUCGUGUCUCAAAGAAUGAACCAAACAUGUCUCAGUAUAAGUGCCUCACUUGGAAAAUGCCGAUGGCUCUUUUAAACAGUUAUAGCUUCCAUGUUCAUUGUUUAUUAACUGGAUAUCCCCGGUAAUUCCAGAGAUAAUGCAUGCGUUCAUCCCCGUCCUUUUCGGGAAGGGUGUGCUUAUUUUACAUUGAACCAUUCCGGCUUGCCCGGUUUUGAGGUGAUUCAUGGUAAUUGAAUGAAUCGCAAAUUUUGGCGGGGAUGAUUCAUUCAAGUUUCUAACCUAUCAAAAUUUGAUGGUAGGGUAUUGGCCUACCGGGGGUUUUUUGGGUAACGGAGAAUUACGGUUUGAAUUCGGGGAGGGAGCCUGAGAAACGGCUACCACAUCUAAGGAAGGCCGCAGGGGGGCCAACUACCCAAUACCGACUCAGGGAGGUAGUGCCGAUGAAACACCAAUACGAGGCUCUUUUUUUUUGUAAACGGAAAGGGCCCAAUUUUAAAAACUAUUCGAGUAUUGAUU
Molecule: ribosomal RNA, 524 nt
Filed under: uncultured eukaryote
Lineage: Eukaryota
Description: partial 18S ribosomal RNA
Rfam family: Eukaryotic small subunit ribosomal RNA
Source: RNAcentral